Small nucleolar RNA from Sorex araneus (European shrew), 100 nucleotides. RefSeq annotates it as small nucleolar RNA U13. The record is from RefSeq and is a predicted model, not a curated record. The transcript has a single exon. Lineage: Eukaryota; Metazoa; Chordata; Mammalia; Eulipotyphla; Soricidae.
AUCCUUUUUUGGUUCAUAAUCAUGAUUGGGUGCUCACAAGCUGUGUGAUAUGUUUUUCCCUUAAAUCUUGUCAUGCAUUUGGCAUAUUACCCAUCUCACG